UACAGAGGUCUCAAGCGUUGUUCGGAUUCAUUGGGCGUAAAGGGUGCGUAGGUGGCGCCUGUAAGUCGGGUGUGAAAUUUCGGAGCUUAAACUUCGAAACUGCAUUCGAUACUGCCGGUGCUUGAGGACUGGAGAGGAGACUGGAAUUUAUGGUGUAGCGGUGAAAUGCGUAGAGUAUCAUGAGGAAGACCAGUGGCGAAGGCGGGUCUCUGGACAGUUCCUGACACUGAGGCACGAAGGUCCAGGGGGAGCAAAACGGGAUUAGAUACCCGGAGUC
Molecule: ribosomal RNA, 277 nt
Filed under: uncultured bacterium
Lineage: Bacteria
Description: partial 16S ribosomal RNA
Rfam family: Bacterial small subunit ribosomal RNA
Source: RNAcentral